GUGGGGAAUUUUGGACAAUGGGCGCAAGCCUGAUCCAGCCAUUCCGCGUGCAGGAUGAAGGCCUUCGGGUUGUAAACUGCUUUUGUACGGAACGAAAAGCCUCUGGUUAAUACCCGGGGGUCAUGACGGUACCGUAAGAAUAAGCACCGGCUAACUACGUGCCAGCAGCCGCGGUAAUACGUAGGGUGCAAGCGUUAAUCGGAAUUACUGGGCGUAAAGCGUGCGCAGGCGGUUAUAUAAGACAGAUGUGAAAUCCCCGGGCUCAACCUGGGAACUGCAUUUGUGACUGUAUAGCUAGAGUACGGUAGAGGGGGAUGGAAUUCCGCGUGUAGCAGUGAAAUGCGUAGAUAUGCGGAGGAACACCGAUGGCGAAGGCAAUCCCCUGGGCCUGCACUGACGCUCAUGCACGAAAGCGUGGGGAGCAAACAGGAUUAGAUACCCCAGUAGUCC
This 450-nucleotide ribosomal RNA is filed under the name uncultured bacterium. RNAcentral's name for it is "partial 16S ribosomal RNA". It matches the Rfam family "Bacterial small subunit ribosomal RNA", at positions 354 to 796 of the family's 1533-position model. The record is from RNAcentral.